This 458-nucleotide ribosomal RNA is filed under the name uncultured bacterium. RNAcentral describes it as "bacterial SSU rRNA". It matches the Rfam family "Bacterial small subunit ribosomal RNA", at positions 340 to 786 of the family's 1533-position model. The record is from RNAcentral.
UACGGAAGGCAGCAGUGGGGAAUAUUGCACAAUGGGCGCAAGCCUGAUGCAGCCAUGCCGCGUGUAUGAAAAAGGCCUUCGGGUUGUAAAGUACUUUCAGUCGUGAGGAAGGUGUUAAGGUUAAUAACCUUAGCAAUUGACGUUAGCGACAGAAGAAGCACCGGCUAACUCCGUGCCAGCAGCCGCGGUAAUACGGAGGGUGCGAGCGUUAAUCGGAAUUACUGGGCGUAAAGGGCACGCAGGCGGUUAAUUAAGUUGGAUGUGAAAUCCCCGGGCUUAACCUGGGAAUGGCAUUCAAGACUGGUUAGCUAGAGUCUUGUAGAGGGGGGUGAAAUUCCGAUGUGUAGCGGUGAAAUGCGUAGAGAUGUGGGGGAAUACCGGUGGCGAAGGGCGGCCCCUGGGACAAAGGACUGACGCUCAUGUGCGAAAGCGUGGGGAGCAAACAGGGAUUAGAUACC